CUUUUCUUUUACAGCUGAUACACCACCCAUCUCCUUUUAUUUGCCGUACAGAACACCGGCGAUGGAGAGAGAGAACCAUGUUUGAGAGAGAGAGAGAGAGAGAGAUAGAGCGUUGCGAUAGUAGUCAUAGAAAGAGGGAGCCAGUGAUCGACGAUUAAUAAGGCGACGAAGGUGGUUCUGUUUCUAGCGAUGGCGGUGACUUCAAGUAACGAAGACCCGACUAGGGUUCGAGCGACAUUCCGGCUGCCCCUUUUUACACUGUAAGUUCGACGUUUUUGAAAGUUCAAGGACAUUCUUCGGAAUACAUCUUCGUUCAGAUCCUUAACUCCGCACAUUCGUCUCCACACAUUUGCAUUAGGGCUUUUUUUCUAUUGAUAACCCUAACUACGUUCUUCUUUUACUAUCAUAAUUUUCGUGAUCUGCAGUUUCACUCUCCUCUUUCCAUCCAAUAUCAACCAUUUGCAGGUUCACCAGGAGUGGGGUUCAUGCCGCAUAUCCUUGAUGUUGCUGGAGAGGUUCAACCUUGACCCUUUAAUGUUUCUUUGGUAUAGUUUGUUUAUUUUUUUUUUACUACUAUAUUUGUAUGGUAAUAAUUGGUUCAGACCCAGACUCUAACACUCGGCCUCUCUCUGUAUUUGAUGAGUAUCCUUGGUUUUAAAAAGUGAGAGGCGCACAAAAGCGACGAGGUCUAAAACCAAGGCACGAAGCGCAAAAGCGGUGGGCUUUUCGUACCCGAGGCGCAAAGUGAUUAUAUAACUUUUUAUAUCUUUUUAAUAUAUUUCAUAAGUUUUUAGCAUCCUUUAUUCAAAAUAUAGCAAUAAAAAAGGUUUAUAUAUGAUUUUACCUAUAAGUACAAGCCAAAAAAACCUAAUGUACAACAGUUUGAUGCUUAAAAACAGCUUAUGUACAUGAGGCGCGCGCCUCAGGCCUGAAAACACCCCCAAAAAUGCGCUUUUUGGGGCUUCUUGUAAAAAGCGUGCCUCAGGCUACCUGAGGCGCCCAGACUUGUGCCUUGAUGCGCCUCGCGCCUAGGCGCGCCUCAGGCACGCUUUUUAAAACCCAGUGAGUGUCAAGAAUAAUACGCAGGUAACAUAUGCUUCCAUAUAAUUGAUCUUUUGUUUAAAGGUUAUUGUAGUUGGUAUGCGUUUUCUAGGUAGUUAAAGGUUCAAGGUGCAGCCAACAAUAUACUCAAUAUGGAUGCAACUCGGAGUGUGGAAAGGAUUGCCCCUGCUUAAACAAUUCCCCUGCUGUGAAAAGCAUUGUGGGUAUGUAUUAUGAGUUUAAGAAGUGAUGUCAGCAUCGUUCUUUUAAGAGACAUACAUGCACGCCUGGUUGAACAUGUCAUAUGUUACUAAAAUCGAUGAUAUAAUACAAAGUAACCGGUGGAUCAGGGCUGUUGCACGUACAACUUUGUUUUAAACGUAUUAUGUAUCAGUUAAUUUCGCUCCAUGAUUGAUAAAAAUUGUAUAUCAGGGCUACUGCACGCACAACUUUGUUUUAACUACAAUUUCUCUUGCAAAAUGUUUGACAAAGCCUAGCAUUUACAUUCCUAUCAAGAUACAAAAGGUACAUAUCGCAAACUUCUUAUAGAUUCACAUAUCUUGCUUUUAUGUGUUACAAUUGAACUACAAAAAAGAUGUGCAGAACCAACCAUAUGCUUAAAAAUGUGGAUAAUUAAUUUAUAAGAAACUACUAUUUUCCUAAGCUUAAUGAGAUCUGGGUUGGUGGGUUACUAUGGGACUUGAUCUAAACACUAGCUUAUAGAAUACAAUAACUUACCCGACUAUGUUGCCUAAGCUCCAGUUGAAGGAGAUGAAAGUUUUGAUAAUAUAGACAAUGUUUCUUAUGGUACGAUUAAUGUUUGAGAUCAAGUCUUUUUCAAAUAAAUAUGAAUUUGAGUGAGAAUUGGAACGGUCUCGGUCUGGUGCUUACGAAAGCUUUGAAACAAAAUUGUUUUGAGAAUGGUUCAGGUACCUUGGCUGCUACUGUUGAAGAAACGUAGGCGAUGUCUUAUUUGCGGGUUAGAAACCGUUCUGGGGUACUGGCGCAAUAUGGGUCAAGUUGGGCAGUGCAACUUGCUGUGUAUUGUUGUUGUAUGCCUGUAAAAUUUAGUUUAAUAUGUUUGUUUUCCUUUUUGCUUCCCUUGGUGUACUGUGGCGAGCCUUUGGCUUGUACUUUUUUUUUGGGUUAAUAAAAAAUGGUGUUUUGUUUUCCAAACACGAUGGGUAAUAUAUGUGGCCCCGACCGCAACGCGGCGGGUGCUAUUUCUAGUUGAUAUUUAAUAAAGAAUUAUUGUUUCAUUUUGCAGGAAAUAUGCCAACCAAAAAGUAAAGGGUGCUUCUUCGAUGGAUUCACAAACUAUUGAUCACAUCAUAGAUUCACAAACUGUUGAUCACAUGAAGAGUGUUGUGAAUGCUAUGGCGCCUAUCAUCAUCCAACAACAUAUCCCUAAUGCAAACCUAUCUUUGGUUCUUAGUUCUUUUUUUGGUUCUUAGUAAUAUGAACCUGUUACAUGCGUGAACCAUCAUUUGUUCCUUUAUGAUUACAUAUUUAUUUGAAAUAUAAUGAUUCUUUCAUUA
Helianthus annuus (common sunflower) is the source of this 2579-nucleotide long non-coding RNA. RefSeq lists it as uncharacterized. The transcript is spliced from 2 exons. The record is from RefSeq and is a predicted model, not a curated record. NCBI's taxonomy places the organism in Eukaryota, Viridiplantae, Streptophyta, Magnoliopsida, Asterales, Asteraceae.